AUGAACGCUGGCGGCGUGCCUAAUCCAUGCCAGUCGAGCGAACAGACGAGGAGCUUGCUCCUCUGACGUUAGCGGCGGACGGGGGAGUAACACGUGGAUAACCUACCUAUAAGACUGGGAUAACUUCGGGAAACCGGAGCUAAUACCGGAUAAUAUAUUGAACCGCAUGGUUCAAUAGUGAAAGACGGUUUUGCUGUCACUUAUAGAUGGAUCCGCGCCGCAUUAGCUAGUUGGUAAGGUAACGGCUUACCAAGGCAACGAUGCGUAGCCGACCUGAGAGGGUGAUCGGCCACACUGGAACUGAGACACGGUCCAGGCUCCUACGGGAGGCAGCAGUAGGGAAUCUUCCGCAAUGGGCGAAAGCCUGACGGAGCAACGCCGCGUGAGUGAUGAAGGUCUUCGGAUCGUAAAACUCUGUUAUUAGGGAAGAACAAAUGUGUAAGUAACUAUGCACGUCUUGACGGUACCUAAUCAGAAAGCCACGGCUAACUACGUG
Molecule: ribosomal RNA, 496 nt
Filed under: uncultured bacterium
Lineage: Bacteria
Description: partial 16S ribosomal RNA
Rfam family: Bacterial small subunit ribosomal RNA
Source: RNAcentral